RNAcentral lists this ribosomal RNA (301 nucleotides) under uncultured bacterium. Its description in RNAcentral is "partial 16S ribosomal RNA". It matches the Rfam family "Bacterial small subunit ribosomal RNA", at positions 509 to 809 of the family's 1533-position model. The record is from RNAcentral.
CAGCAGCCACGGUAAUACAGAGGGUGCGAGCGUUAAUCGGAUUUACUGGGCGUAAAGCGUGCGUAGGCGGCUUUUUAAGUCGGAUGUGAAAUCCCUGAGCUUAACUUAGGAAUUGCAUUCGAUAAUGGGAAGCUAGAGUAUGGGAGAGGAUGGUAGAAUUCCAGGUGUAGCGGUGAAAUGCGUAGAGAUCUGGAGGAAUACCGAUGGCGAAGGCAGCCAUCUGGCCUAAUACUGACGCUGAGGUACGAAAGCAUGGGGAGCAAACAGGAUUAGAUACCCCAGUAGUCCCUGUCUCUUAUAU